Molecule: long non-coding RNA, 686 nt
Filed under: Canis lupus dingo (dingo)
Lineage: Eukaryota; Metazoa; Chordata; Mammalia; Carnivora; Canidae
Description: lncRNA (ENSCAFG00020007341.1)
Source: RNAcentral
ACCAACUCUCUUGCGCUGCGCACUGCCGUGCGUUUAACCCAGGCGAGGAGGAGGAGGACAAAAUUCUCCCAGAUCCGGGCAGUCUGUUCUUAGGAUGAAGCUUUCACUGAACUGAAGGAAGAGGAAACAACCCUGAAUCCGUGGAGGUCUGUCUGAAUUUGGGGCCCUGCACAAGUACAGGCCUGAUAGAAAAAAGUAAACUGCUCCUGCUCCCAGCAGGUUGGUAUGGGCAUGAUCACCAUCUGGGAACCCUUGGGGGUGAGUGUGGGGGAUCAGAGCAGCAUCUGGGGUCUCUACUGUUUUUCCUGCUCUCCAACAGCUUUCCUAAUGUCCUUAUGCCUCUCAUCUCCCAUUUAGGUGCUGGGAAAUUGUGUGUUGGCAUUGGGUAGGGCCAGCUAGGGAUGAAGGUGUAGAAAACCUUAGACAACCUGGGUCCUGUAUCAGCACACACAGGCCUUGCCAUCUGUGUCUGGGUAGUAGCUCACUCACCGAGCCUUGUUUCUGACCUCUCCUCCAUAGGCCUGGUUAAGCACAAAGUGAGCCAGAGCCUUAAGCUUCAUUUCUGCCCCUUUGUCCCAGGUCCUGCUCGGCUUGCAGUCUGGGCAAAACCUGUGAGCCUGAGUAGAAGUGCCUUGCCCAGACGUGCAAACCGCGUUUAGGCAAGCCAGCUCCACACUGUGGAUCAG